RNAcentral lists this ribosomal RNA (253 nucleotides) under uncultured bacterium. Its description in RNAcentral is "partial 16S ribosomal RNA". It matches the Rfam family "Bacterial small subunit ribosomal RNA", at positions 524 to 776 of the family's 1533-position model. The record is from RNAcentral. RNAcentral also lists the same sequence under 2 other names.
UACGUAGGGUGCAAGCGUUGUCCGGAAUUAUUGGGCGUAAAGAGCUCGUAGGCGGUCUGUCGCGUCGGCUGUGAAAACCCGAGGCUCAACCUCGGGCCUGCAGUCGAUACGGGCAAACUAGAGUGUUGCAGGGGAGACUGGAAUUCCUGGUGUAGCGGUGAAAUGCGCAGAUAUCAGGAGGAACACCGGUGGCGAAGGCGGGUCUCUGGGCAACAACUGACGCUGAGGAGCGAAAGCGUGGGGAGCGAACAGG